Molecule: non-coding RNA, 145 nt
Filed under: Aeromicrobium choanae
Lineage: Bacteria; Bacillati; Actinomycetota; Actinomycetes; Propionibacteriales; Nocardioidaceae
Source: RNAcentral
GUGUGGUCGAAGGUUCGAGGUGCCCCACGGCUCAUGGCCACGGGGAGAAUCUGGGAAGCCGGUGAGAAUCCGGCACAGGGCCCGCUGCGGUGACUCAGGCACAGACCUGGGAAGUCCGAAGACCGGCCUCGAUCCGACCCGCGAC